GAUGAAGAACGCAGCGAAAUGCGAUAAGUAAUGUGAAUUGCAGAAUUCAGUGAAUCAUCGAAUCUUUGAACGCAUCUUGCGCUCCUUGGUAUUCUGAGGAGCAUGCCUGUUUGAGUGUCAUUAAAUUCUCAACUACACUGACUUUGAAUUGGUGUGGCUUGGAUUUGGGGGGGAAAAUUGUUGUGGGCUUUCUGUAUAGUCUGCUCCCCUGAAAUUGAUUAGCGGUACCUUUGUGGAACUGUCUACAGGUGUGAUAAUUAUCUACAUCCUAGACAUCUGCUGGAAUGCUGCUUUCUAAACCUUACUUGUAUUGACAAUCUUGACCUCAAAUCAGGUAGGACUACCCGCUGAACUUAAGCAUAUCAAUAAGCGGAGGA
This 377-nucleotide unclassified non-coding RNA is filed under the name soil metagenome. RNAcentral describes it as "partial contains 5.8S ribosomal RNA, internal transcribed spacer 2, and large subunit ribosomal RNA". The stretch from base 1 to 120 matches the Rfam family "5.8S ribosomal RNA", at positions 35 to 154 of the family's 154-position model. The record is from RNAcentral.